RNAcentral lists this ribosomal RNA (464 nucleotides) under uncultured bacterium. RNAcentral's name for it is "partial 16S ribosomal RNA". It matches the Rfam family "Bacterial small subunit ribosomal RNA", at positions 28 to 506 of the family's 1533-position model. The record is from RNAcentral.
GAUGAACGCUGGCGGCGUGCUUAACACAUGCAAGUCGAACGGAAAGGCUCCUGCUUGCCGGGGUACUCGAGUGGCGAACGGGUGAGUAACACGUGGGUGAUCUGCCCUGCACUUCGGGAUAUGCCUGGGAAACUGGGUCUAAUACCGGAUAGGACGAUGGUUUGGAUGCCAUUGUGGAAAGUUUUUCGGUGUGGGUUGAGCUCGCGGCCUAUCAGCUUGUUGGUGGGGUAAUGGCCUACCAAGGCGUCGACGGGUAGCCGGCCUGAGAGGGUGUACGGCCACAUUGGGACAGAGAUACGGCCCAGACGCAAACGGGAGGCAGGAGUGGGAAAUAUUGCACAAUGGGCGCAGGCCGGGAGCAGCGACGCCGCGUGGGGGAUGACGGCCUUCGGGUAGUAAACUCCUUUCGCUAGGGACGAAGCGCAAGUGAGGGUACCAGGAGAAGAAGCACCGGCUAACUACGU